CGAAACCAAAGCCUGGCGACCGGCGCACGGGUGAGUAACACGUAUCCAACCUGCCUCAUACUCGGGGAUAGCCUUUCGAAAGAAAGAUUAAUAUCCGAUAGCAUAUAUUUCCCGCAUGGGUUUUAUAUUAAAGAAAUUCGGUAUGAGAUGGGGAUGCGUUCCAUUAGUUUGUUGGGGGGGUAACGGCCCACCAAGACUACGAUGGAUAGGGGUUCUGAGAGGAAGGUCCCCCACAUUGGAACUGAGACACGGUCCAA
RNAcentral lists this ribosomal RNA (257 nucleotides) under uncultured bacterium. RNAcentral's name for it is "partial 16S ribosomal RNA". It matches the Rfam family "Bacterial small subunit ribosomal RNA", at positions 77 to 334 of the family's 1533-position model. The record is from RNAcentral.